This 1170-nucleotide long non-coding RNA is filed under the name Ornithorhynchus anatinus (platypus). Its description in RNAcentral is "lncRNA (ENSOANG00000043587.1)". Lineage: Eukaryota; Metazoa; Chordata; Mammalia; Monotremata; Ornithorhynchidae. The record is from RNAcentral.
UGUGGUAAGUAUUAGAUGCACUGUGAUGAAGCCUCUUUAAAAAAAAAAACUUAAAUAUAACUUGCAGCUGUAGUGUUGGCAGUUGGAGCAGGAGCAGCUGUAAACAGAACUGGAGAAAAGCUACGCAGAAGCACACGGAAGAGGAGCAUUAGCUCUGAUGAGAAUUUAACUUAAAAUCUGGUUCUGCUGGUUCCUGGCACUCUUUGCCACUCUUCCUGGAAGCUCUUCCAAAGUGGUUUUCUCACAAAUUCUUCAGCAAGUAGCGAGAUUAGUCAAGGUAAUCUUGACUGAUCAAAAAUUUCUGUCACGUAUGCUAUGUAUGUUGAUUGAGCUUACAUAACAUGAAGAACAGAGAGAAGGAAUGGUAAUAUUCGAUCGCUGCUUUGUAUUUAUGUUUAAGGCACUUAGAGUGUGGUAUUGAGACUAUCUCAUGUUUUCUAUACAUUUAACUAUGGGGUUUCUUACUUUUAAAGAUGAACAAUACUUUUAAUAAAAAAGGCAGUAAUGACAACGAGGUGAAAUGGGGUAAUAGCCUAACUCCGUAGUCUUGAAACUAUGACCCAAGGGAAUUAUGGCCUAAUAUCAGAAGGUACUUUGGCACCGCUGGCAAAAGAAGGGAUAUGGAGAGCAAUGUGAACCAUAAAGCGCCUCUAUUAUUUCAAAUCAAUCACUUACCUCUCCACUGACAGAUGCAUCGAGACCCUUGAUGCAGCUUCACCAGGGCCAUCUGAGAAACAACUGAUCAGAACUGUAUCUACUUUGGACAGUGCAUCACUCCCUGGUGGAAUCUAUAUGAUACUACAAAAGUGGUUGAUUCCGAACAUUUUACUAGCUCCUGGAUACUGUGGACAAGUCACUUGACCUCUCUGGGACGCAUCUUCCUCAUCUAUAAAAUGGGGGUAAGACAGACUAUGAGCCCUUUGUGGAGCAAAGCCUGUAUCUGAUCUCUUAACCUUUUAUGUACCCCAGUGCUUAGCACAUAGUAAGUGUAGAAGCAAUGAUUAAACACGAGAAGCAACAUGGCCUAGUGGACUCGGGCCUGUGAGUCGGAGUACCUGGAUUCAAAUCCUGGCUCUGCCACUUGCCCUCUUUGGGACCUUAGUCAAGUCACUUCGCUUCUCCGUGCCUCAGUUUCCUCAUCUGUAAAAUGAUGAUUCAGUACCCGUUCUC